RNAcentral lists this ribosomal RNA (474 nucleotides) under Centruroides sasae. RNAcentral describes it as "partial 16S ribosomal RNA". It matches the Rfam family "Archaeal large subunit ribosomal RNA", at positions 1908 to 2669 of the family's 2987-position model. Lineage: Eukaryota; Metazoa; Arthropoda; Arachnida; Scorpiones; Buthidae. The record is from RNAcentral.
AUUUUUUAGAAAUGAUUAAAAAUGGUUUCUGCUCAAUGUUCUAUAAAUGGCCGCAGUAUAUUGACUGUGCAAAGGUAGCAUAAUAAUUAGUCUUAUAAUUGAAGACUGGAAUGAAAGAAUAAACUGGAAAAGUUCUUUUCUAUCCUUCUUUUUAAACUUUACCUUUUAGUAAAAAGGCUAAAAUAAUACUUUUAGACAAGAAGACCCUAUAAAGCUUUACAUAAGAUAAUUCAAUAAAUUAAAAAUAUGUUUUACUGGGGCGGUAAAAAGAAAAACACUUUUAAAUUAUUAAAAAUAUUAUAAUUCCAAUACCCAAAAAUUUUGAAUAUUAAAUAAGCUACUUUAGGGAUAACAGCGUAAUGUGUUUUGAAAGCUCAAAUUGACAAACAUGUUUGCGACCUCGAUGUUGGAUUAGUUUUCCUUUAUUAUGCAAGAGUAUUAAUAGGAGGUCUGUUCGACCUUUAAAAAACUCCA